ACUCACUCAUUUUCUUUCUCUCUUUUCCUCUCCACUCCUUCCCUCACUCACUUCUUUUCUCCCUAGCCCUAUGACCUCUCCCUAACUCCCUCCUUCUCUCUACCCUGUAUUAGGAUUCUACUCCUUGCUCAGCCCAGUCUUUGUGAGUGGGUUAGCCAAGCGUGUCACAGUGAGAACCAGUGAAUGGUAAUGAACUGUGUGUGUGUGUGUUUGUGUGUGUUGGUGAGGGUGUGUGUCUCAGAGAAGGAGGGAGUAUUCAGUGAGUAUGAGGGCAGAGCCAGCAGAGAGAGGGUGAAGAGCGGAUAGAGGAACGAGAGCGGAGAGAGGGAGGAGAGCAGACAGAGGGAACAAGGCAGUCGGCUGAUUCACCACCCCUCCAUCCAUCCCUUCUUUCUCUUUCUCCUCUUCUGCUUCAGUGGCGGGGUAGUGGAGGUGUGUGUGGGAAAAGAAACCCCCCCCUCCACACACAAACAGACCACUGCUCCUAAUCCCUUCCACCUGCCUCCAUCCCUCUCCCUUCUCCCAUUGUCAUUACUACCUCCAGCUCUGUCUCAUUCCUUCUCACCCCAUCCCAUCAUCCCAUCUAUCUCUCUAUCGCUCUUUCUUUCUCUCCAGCCCCCACGCCCUUCUAACCCACACGCUCUGUGUCACCACCGUGGUGAAGAAAAUGAUCGGCGAACAAGCUGGAAAAGGUAGAGGAGAGGACAGAGCGAGGAGAAGGAGAGGAAGAGUGAACUCUGUCCAUUCAAAACAAUCCAGACUUUCCUGUUUCCCUGAUGGAUUAUCGCCGGCCCCACGGACAGAAGGAGGAGUGGAGGAGAAAAGAAAAAGACCAAUAGAGGAAGAGAGCAUACAAGAAUUGAGCUCUGGACAGCCAGUUCGCCUAAAGGUCUUGUCUGCAGGCUGUGCUUGGGACUCUGGCUAAUUGUGGAGUAUUCUCAGGACUCCAGCGGAGGAGAGAGAGAUGCUUUCUCUUUCUUUUCAUUCUAAUUAAUUGCCCUCUAUGCAAAUACUCAAAGAGCCUUUCUCUUUGAGGGCGAUAAUUUAAUAUUCUGUUCAUAUCAAUAUUUUCCAUUUGUUUUUUCCACACAUACUGUACUUGUAGGCUGCCACUCAAAAAGAAAAAAAAAAAGAAAAAAACAUACAAAAACUCUCUGACAUCCCUAGGGGGUUUGGGAGCGGGUGUACAGAGAAAUUAGAGAAUGAACGUGAGAGUGAGAGAUAAAACAUAAUAGUGUGGAGUCUACUAGACAUAAGUAUUUCCCAGAGUGGUGUGAGGGAAGAAAGAAAGGAAAAUACUAUUUUCACCUAAGGUCUAACCAGUGCUGUGGAUAGACAGAGUAAGACAUCGGUCCCUGCUCAUCGGUCCCUGCUCAUACAACACCGAGACUGAGAAGAAUGCACAAGACUGAGGAGAGAACGGACGGACAAACACACAGACAAGUCAGCCCUCCGACCCCAAUCGCAUUCUGUCCAUCUCUGUUAGGGUGCAGCGCCCUACACACACAUACACUUACUCACACACACACUAACUCAUACACACACUUAUGCACACACUCAUACACAGACACAAAAGAACCUUGGCUUUGUCUGGGACCCUUUUCUUUUCAGAAUUAUUUAUUUUCUAGCACCCAUUUUUCCCUCUCUCUGCCCCCAUCUCUCCUCCAUCUCUCCAUAUAGACUCUGAGAACACCAUAUCUCCACUACACAGACCUCUACACUUCCUGAUUCUUAGAUUGAUUGGUCUUUCAGUUCCUCCCUUCUACAUAUCUCUACUUCUCUUCCUCUCCCUUUACCUCUUUUUCUCACCGUUCUUCUUUCACUCCUUUUCUCUCUCUGUCUCUCUCCCUCUCUCACACUCCUUUGCUUUCCUGCCCCCCUCGUCACACCUCACUCCCUCUCUCUUCUCCUACCGCUCCCUCACUUGCCCGGUCUCAUUGUCUUCACAAACAGCAGUGUUAGUGUGUGUGUGUACGGGGGAACCAAUCCUUUCUGCAGUGGAGCCACGGAGCACAGGGGAGCCUGAGGUACUACAUGUGUCUCAAUCAAACCAUGCCCCAGUUCACCUUUGCCUGUUUCUGUGGUCUGCACGGCUUCUGCCGGAGACGGACAAAGAAUAAAAAUAAGAAAAGGGAGGAACAAGUGGAGAUGGAGGAGAAACAGAGGGAUCAGGAGACAGAGGUGUGAAGGAAGUCUGGAGGGACUUCACCCUCUUCAUCUUCUCAGAGACUCUGUUUUGGUCAUAGUUGAAAAGCGGUUGAAACCCCUUCCUGUGUACCUCAGUCUUUGGGAAUGAAGGCAGGAUAUUUUCACCAAACACACAGUACCACUGAUUUUUACCUAAUUGAACUUAAAACUGUGGUCUGUAAUUUCUUAGGAAUUUUUUUUUUACUCCAUGUAGGCCAGUACACUGCCAAAUUGAAUUACAGAUUGUGCCUUUUAGAUGGGGAGAUGGAAAGGUAUGUAAUGAUGGCAUUCUUCUUUCUACGUCCAGAUCCUUUUCCAUUAUUCACACUGUGGUCCGUCUCUCCUCCACCUGAAGCAGCUGUCCAAUCAGCAGCUUCACUGGACAGUGUAGGUAGAAGUCAAAGGUUAAAACAAAUGUUAUUUACAAUCUCCUCCACCAAGGGGAUGGGCACACACACAUGUAAAUUAAAGAUAUGCAUGGGUCUGUAAAUGCGACUCACUGCCUCGAUUACAGUAGGUAUUAAGUAACAAAAUUAUAUAUAUAUAUUUUUUACAUUAGAUAAAAGUAGAGACUCAGAGGUAGAAAAUUGUAUAUCAUACACUGCAGUUGAGGAACAAUGGGAAAGUAAUGAUAUUUGAAAGUCGAUAAACUUGUAACUGCACAAUGAACCAUAAUUCAUAACCCAUACAGUAAUAGCAAUACAAACUGAAUGUCAUAGCUAGCCACCAUGCAUGAAUCUGCAGGUAGGUAAAGCUAAUCAACUAUGUUCAAUGUUAGCUAGCUAGCUAACAUUGGCCUAUAACUAGCAAUGCAAAUGGAUUUCUGAUAUACUAAUAAUAUUCCUACACAGAUCAUACACAUAACGUUAGCUAGUGAGCCAACAAGCUAACGUUCGCUAGCCUUCUAACAGUUCGCUUUAACUUCUUGCGUCGAGCCAUCCCGGAUCCGGGAUCGUGAAUACAGCCUCAAACUCAUUACCAUAACACAACGUUAACUAUUCAUGAAAAUCGCAAAUGAAAUGAAAUUAAUAUGCUAGCUCUCAAGCUUAGCCGUUUGUUAACAACACUGUCAUCUCAGAUGUUCAAAAUAUGCUUCUCAACCAUAGCAAAACAAGCAUUUGUGUAACAGUAUUGAUAGCUAGCGUAGCAUUUAGCGUUAGCAUCAGCAGGAAACAUUUUCACAAAAACCAGAAAAUCAUUCAAAUAAAAUAAUUUACCUUUGAAGAACUUCAGAUGUUUUCAAUGAGGAGACUCUCAGUUAGAUAGCAAAUGCUCCGUUUUUCCUGAAAGAUUAUUUGUUUAGGAGAAAUCGCUCCGUUUGGUGCGUCACGUUUGGCUACCAAAAAAAAAAAAAAAA
Long non-coding RNA from Oncorhynchus kisutch (coho salmon), 3544 nucleotides. RefSeq lists it as uncharacterized. The record is from RefSeq and is a predicted model, not a curated record. NCBI's taxonomy places the organism in Eukaryota, Metazoa, Chordata, Actinopteri, Salmoniformes, Salmonidae. The transcript is spliced from 3 exons.